AUUGAACGCUGGCGGCAUGCUUUACACAUGCAAGUCGAACGGUAACAGGCCGCAGGUUGCUGCCGUGUGGCCAACGUGUGAGUAAUGCAUCGGAACGUGCCCAGUCGUCUGGGAUAACUACUCGAAAAAUUAGCUCAUACCGCAUUCGAUCUUUGGAUGAAAGCGGGGGAGCGUAAGGCCUCGCGCCAUUUGGGCGUCCGAUGUCCGAUUAGGUAGUUGGUGGGGUAAAGGCUCACCAAGCCAACGAUCUGUAGCUGGUCUGAGAGUACGACCAGCCACACUGGGACUGAGACACGGCCCAGACUCCUACGGGAGGCAGCAGUGGGGAAUUUUGGACAAUGGGCGCAAGCCUGAUGCAGCAAUGCCGCGUGCAGGAAGAAGGCCUUCGGGUUGUAAACUGCUUUUGUACGGAACGAAACGACUAUGGUUAAUACCCGGGGCUAAUGACGGUACCGUAAGAAUAAGCACCGGCUAACUACGUG
Molecule: ribosomal RNA, 482 nt
Filed under: uncultured bacterium
Lineage: Bacteria
Description: partial 16S ribosomal RNA
Rfam family: Bacterial small subunit ribosomal RNA
Source: RNAcentral